Molecule: long non-coding RNA, 2142 nt
Filed under: Pectinophora gossypiella (pink bollworm)
Lineage: Eukaryota; Metazoa; Arthropoda; Insecta; Lepidoptera; Gelechiidae
Description: uncharacterized LOC126374249
Source: RNAcentral
UUCAAUAGAACACUGUUUCGCAUGAGACGGUUCCUCAAAAAACAUAAUAUCGUGUAUGAGCUAAACAAAAACUUAGGUUUUAUAUGGUUUUAUGUUUUCCAGUGGAUCUGGUUAGAGCUAUGUCACGCUAAAUGGCGUUCUUUGCAUUUCUUCUUACAAUACUUUUCAAUAGAACACUGUUUCGCAUGAGACGGUUCCUCAAAAAACAUAAUAUCGUGUAUGAGCUAAACAAAAACUUAGGUUUUAUAUGGUUUUAUGUUUUCCAGUGGAUCUGGUUAGAGCUAUGUCACGCUAAAUGGUGUUCUUUGCAUUUCUUCUUGCAAUACUUUUCAAUAGAACACUGUUUCGCAUGACACGGUUCCUCAAAAAACAUAAUAUCGUGUAUGAGCUAAACUAAAACUUAGGUUUUAUAUGGUUUUAUGUUUUCCAGUGGAUCUGGUUAGAGCUAUGUCACGCUAAAUUGUGUUCUUUGCAUUUCUUCUUACAAUACUUUUCAAUAGAACACUGUUUCGCAUGAGACGGUUCCUCAAAAAACAUAAUAUCGUGUAUGAGCUAAACUAAAACUUAGGGUUUUUUACAUGGUUUUAUGUUUUCCAGUGGAUCUGGUUAGAGCUAUGUCACGCUAAAUGGUGUUCUUUGCAUUUCUUCUUACAAUACUUUUCAAUAGAACACUGUUUCGCAUGAGACGGUUCCUCAAAAAACAUAAUAUCGUGUAUGAGCUAAACAAAAACUUAGGUUUUAUAUGGUUUUAUGUUUUCCAGUGGAUCUGGUUAGAGCUAUGUCACGCUAAAUGGUGUUCUUUGCAUUUCUUCUUGCAAUACUUUUCAAUAGAACACUGUUUCGCAUGACACGGUUCCUCAAAAAAGAUAAUAUCGUGUAUGAGCUAAACUAAAACUUAGGUUUUACAUGGUUUUAUGUUUUCCAGUGGAUCUGGUUAGAGCUAUGUCACGCUAAAUUGUGUUCUUUGCAUUUCUUCUUACAAUACUUUUCAAUAGAACACUGUUUCGCAUGACACGGUUCCUCAAAAAACAUAAUAUCGUAUAUGAGCUAAACUAAAACUUAGGGUUUUACAUGGUUUUAUGUUUUCCAGUGGAUCUGGUUAGAGCUAUGUCACGCUAAAUUGUGUUCUUUGCAUUUCUUCUUACAAUACUUUUCAAUAGAACACUGUUUCGCAUGACACGGUUCCUCAAAAAACAUAAUAUCGUGUAUGAGCUAAACAAAAACUUAGGGUUUUACAUGGUUUUAUGUUUUCCAGUGGAUCUGGUUAGAGACAUGUCACGCUAAAUAGCAUUCUUGUCAUUUCUUCUUUCCAUCCUUUAUAUUAUAUUAAAUAAUAUUUCAUACGGUAUUAUUUCGUUCUUUAAUUUAAUGUGUUUUUAGUGCUUCUGAAUGUGAUUUUGUUUUAAAUACUUAGCUUAUUAGCAUUCAUCAGUAUCCAAGAAUUCAUCAUACCACUGCUAAUCAAUAAACAAACAUCGGUCUUAGCGUUUAAAUACCGAAAAAAUACCUGCCUGUUCAUUUAUUACUUGUUUCAUUAAACAGGAAUUUGCAUAUCGAUCGUUUUCAAUUAACUUCGAACAGUUACAACUACACGUAAACUGAGCAUGUAGUCUAUUUACAGCAAGAUCGUGACCGCUGACUGCAGCUCUCCUUCUCCCUCCAUUUCACUCCCAACCGACAUUUUCACCUUUGCUGAUAUGAUUACUCCACAGGAUACCUCCAUCCCCUGCAUACCUGGUCGCUAGAUUCGGCUGGCACGUCAUAUCGGUUUGACAGCCAACUCACGUAACUAUUGUUGAUCGACCCACAGUCCACUGAAGUGCCUACGAUGAAGGGAACAACAUGGACAGUUCUACUCCGAAUUACUCCAACCCAUGCGAUGUUCAUCCAUGCGACAACCCACCUGAUCUGAGUGGAACUUAACUGAAGCAAGAGAGUGAUGCCUAAUUCCAUCUGCCAACUAGCUCCACUUCUCUCCCGUGCACCAGUCGCACCCACACCGACGUGUUCAUCUUGCCAGUUUUCCUCACACCCGUCCACUUGUCUCUUGAAGAUUGGCGUCCACAACACCAACGGUUGGUUAGGUCAUGCAAGCAUUGUUACAAUUGAUAAAAACACAUAUUUUCAUUUAGUGAAUGUGAU